CAGGGAAGAGCUUGCUCUUUCGCUGACGACCGGCGCACGGGUGCGUAACGCGUAUACAACCUACCUUUUGGAGGGGAAUAGCCCAGGGAAACUUGGAUUAAUGCCCCAUAGUAUGGGAAUAUCUCCUGAUAUUUUCAUUAAACAUUUAUGGCCAUUAGAUGGGUAUGCGUCCUAUUAGUUAGUUGGUAAGGUAACGGCUUACCAAGGCAGCGAUAGGUAGGGGUCCUGAGAGGGAGAUCCCCCACACUGGUACUGAGACACGGACCAGACUCCUACGGGAGGCAGCAGUGAGGAAUAUUGGACAAUGGGCGAGAGCCUGAUCCAGCCAUGCCGCGUGCAGGAAGACUGCCCUAUGGGUUGUAAACUGCUUUUACAGAGGAAGAACCACUCCCACGUGUGGGAGUUUGACGGUACUCUGCGAAUAAGGAUCGGCUAACUCCGUGCCAGCAGCCGCGGUAAUACGGAGGAUCCAAGCGUUAUCCGGAAUCAUUGGGUUUAAAGGGUCCGUAGGCGGGCAGUUAAGUCAGUGGUGAAAGUCUUCCGCUCAACGGGAGAACUGCCAUUGAUACUGAUUGUCUUGAGUUAUUAUGAAGUGGUUAGAAUGAGUAGUGUAGCGGUGAAAUGCAUAGAUAUUACUCAGAAUACCGAUUGCGAAGGCAGAUCACUAAUAAUAUACUGACGCUGAUGGACGAAAGCGUAGGUAGCGAACAGGAUUAGAUACCCUGGUAGUCUACGCCGUAAACGAUGGUUACUAGCUGUUCGGUCCGAUUAAGGGCUGAGUGGUUAAGCGAAAGUGAUAAGUAACCCACCUGGGGAGUACGUUCGCAAGAAUGAAACUCAAAGGAAUUGACGGGGGCCCGCACAAGCGGUGGAGCAUGUGGUUUAAUUCGAUGAUACGCGAGGAACCUUACCAGGGCUUAAAUGUAGUCUGACAGGAGUGGAAACACUUUUUUCUUCGGACAGAUUACAAGGUGCUGCAUGGUUGUCGUCAGCUCGUGCCGUGAGGUGUCAGGUUAAGUCCUAUAACGAGCGCAACCCCUGUGGUUAGUUGCCAGCGAGUAAUGUCGGGAACUCUAGCCAGACUGCCGGUGCAAACCGUGAGGAAGGUGGGGAUGACGUCAAAUCAUCACGGCCCUUACGUCCUGGGCCACACACGUGCUACAAUGGUAGGGACAGAGAGCAGCCACUUCGCGAGAAGGAGCGAAUCUACAAACCCUAUCACAGUUCGGAUCGCAGUCUGCAACUCGACUGCGUGAAGCUGGAAUCGCUAGUAAUCGCAUAUCAGCCAUGAUGCGGUGAAUACGUUCCCGGGCCUUGUACACACCGCCCGUCAAGCCAUGGAAGCCGGGGGUAU
RNAcentral lists this ribosomal RNA (1354 nucleotides) under Salegentibacter agarivorans. Its description in RNAcentral is "bacterial SSU rRNA". It matches the Rfam family "Bacterial small subunit ribosomal RNA", at positions 69 to 1420 of the family's 1533-position model. Lineage: Bacteria; Pseudomonadati; Bacteroidota; Flavobacteriia; Flavobacteriales; Flavobacteriaceae. The record is from RNAcentral.